ACUACUGCGGGGAGAAGUUGGCCGUGCUGAUGAUAAAGGGGAGACUGCUCUAUUGGAUCCUAAAGCUUACUAUGGAAGUAUUCAUCCUCCUUGUGGGACUUUUUCGUCACUUGGUUGGAUGAUUACACAUCCAACCAAGCUGCUGACUUUCCUUCUCCACCUCACAAGCAUCAUGUCUCUGUUUGGGUUGCUCUUCUCAGAGUUAUACACCUCACAUGCAGAAGCUUUCAGCUGAAAUCUGCCAAGAAACUUUUCUCUAUGAAGACUACAUUGCUUCACUUACACAAUCAAGAGAGUUGUUCAAAGAUAAAUUUCUCUUGUGGAGUGCAUGUGAAAAGAGUGACACAAAGGAAAUUUUCUUGUGUGCUGUGAGAGAUGUUGCAGAAGAAGGAGAACUCUGUCUCACACCAUUCGAUUCACCCACUUUAGAUGACCUCCUUAACACAAUCGAGAGGCACCACUUCAAGUAUGAUGCAACCAUCAAGAAAAUUGAUCAGCUCCACUUACUAGCCACGCAAAUGGUAGCUGUAACCGAAUCAAAAAUUCUGUUGAUUGAAGCUAAAAGGAAUAAGUUGGUGGAUAAGCUUGUGAAGCUGUCUUUUUUUUACUACCGUUCUUACAUACAACAGCCAGUGAAAGACUUUGUCAUGGGACAGUUGAUGCAUGAUGCUGAAAGAAGAAACUAAAGGUUCAGAUUUGUAGAUAGAGUCUUUGGAACUUCGAAGUUGGGAGGAUCAGUGGAAGGACUUGUCUAUGUUCUGCUCGGCCUAAGAGAUAUGACAACAACACAUGAAUCUUCUUUUAACACUUUGAUCAUGCAUUUUGAAAACUUACACUUUACCUUUGACUACGGAGAUAGAGUUGUGAGACUCAAAAGGUUGUUCUUUUUCAUUGUUCAGUUUGAGAUAUCUUGCACUUUGAAUGUUUGAGUUUGAGAACUUUAUACAAGAGCGUUGGUAAUAUCUCAUUCAGCAUAGAUCUUGCAUAUGUUCUUUCUCUGUUAGUGGUUCUUUCCCCUGAAACUGCUGCAGCAAGGUUCUUUAUACCAUCAGUCUUUGUAGGAUUGAUCUUACU
Molecule: long non-coding RNA, 1074 nt
Organism: Brassica oleracea var. oleracea
Lineage: Eukaryota; Viridiplantae; Streptophyta; Magnoliopsida; Brassicales; Brassicaceae
Exons: 3
Source: RefSeq, a predicted model, not a curated record